This 468-nucleotide ribosomal RNA is filed under the name uncultured bacterium. RNAcentral's name for it is "partial 16S ribosomal RNA". It matches the Rfam family "Bacterial small subunit ribosomal RNA", at positions 28 to 507 of the family's 1533-position model. The record is from RNAcentral.
GACGAACGCUGGCGGCGUGCUUAACACAUGCAAGUCGAACGGAAAGGCCCUGCUUUUGUGGGGUGCUCGAGUGGCGAACGGGUGAGUAACACGUGAGUAACCUGCCCUUGACUUUGGGAUAACUUCAGGAAACUGGGGCUAAUACCGGAUAGGAGCUCCUGCUGCAUGGUGGGGGUUGGAAAGUUUCGGCGGUUGGGGAUGGACUCGCGGCUUAUCAGCUUGUUGGUGGGGUAGUGGCUUACCAAGGCUUUGACGGGUAGCCGGCCUGCGAGGGUGACCGGCCACAUUGGGACUGAGAUACGGCCCAGACACCUACGGGAGGCAGCAGUGGGGAAUAUUGCACAAUGGGCGGAAGCCUGAUGCAGCAACGCCGCGUGCGGGAUGACGGCCUUCGGGUUGUAAACCGCUUUCGCCUGUGACGAAGCGUGAGUGACGGUAAUGGGUAAAGAAGCACCGGCUAACUACGUG